RNAcentral lists this ribosomal RNA (989 nucleotides) under Paraliobacillus sp. K5S5. RNAcentral describes it as "bacterial SSU rRNA". It matches the Rfam family "Bacterial small subunit ribosomal RNA", at positions 57 to 1429 of the family's 1533-position model. The record is from RNAcentral. Lineage: Bacteria; Bacillati; Bacillota; Bacilli; Caryophanales; Bacillaceae.
GCAAGUGAAUCCCUUCGGGGUGAAACUUGUGGAUCGAGCGGCGGACGGGUGAGUAACACGUGGGCAACCUGCCUGUAAGACUGGGAUAACUCCGGGAAACCGGGGCUAAUACCGGAUAACACUUUUCUUCACCUGAAGGGAAGUUAAAAGGCGGCUGAGUGAAAGUUUACUUUCACCCUGGCUGUCACUUGCAGAUGGGCCCGCGGCGCAUUAGCUAGUUGGUAGGGUAAUGGCCUACCAAGGCAACGAUGCGUAGCCGACCUGAGAGGGUGAUCGGCCACACUGGGACUGAGACACGGCCCAGACUCCUACGGGAGGCAGCAGUAGGGAAUCUUCCGCAAUGGACGAAAGUCUGACGGAGCAACGCCGCGUGAACGAUGAAGGUUUUCGGAUCGUAAAGUUCUGUUGUUAGGGAAGAACAAGUACCGUUCUAACAGGACGGUACCUUGACGGUACCUAACGAGGAAGCCCCGGCUGGGGACCCGCACAAGCGGUGGAGCAUGUGGUUUAAUUUGAAGCAACGCGAAGAACCUUACCAGGUCUUGACAUCCGCUGACAACCCUAGAGAUAGGGCGUUCCCUUCGGGGACAGCGUGACAGGUGGUGCAUGGUUGUCGUCAGCUCGUGUCGUGAGAUGUUGGGUUAAGUCCCGCAACGAGCGCAACCCUUGAUUUUAGUUGCCAGCAUUCAGUUGGGCACUCUAAAGUGACUGCCGGUGAUAAACCGGAGGAAGGUGGGGAUGACGUCAAAUCAUCAUGCCCCUUAUGACCUGGGCUACACACGUGCUACAAUGGAUGGUACAAAGGGCAGCGAAGCCGCGAGGUGAAGCAAAUCCCAUAAAACCAUUCUCAGUUCGGAUUGUAGGCUGCAACUCGCCUACAUGAAGCCGGAAUCGCUAGUAAUCGUGGAUCAGCAUGCCACGGUGAAUACGUUCCCGGGUCUUGUACACACCGCCCGUCACACCACGAGAGUUAGCAACACCCGAAGUCG